GACGAACGCUGGCGGCGUGCUUAACACAUGCAAGUCGAACGGAAAGGCCCCUUUGUGGUUACUCGAUUGGCGAACGGGCGAGUAACACGUACGUAACCUGCCCUUGCCUUCCGGUUAACUUCAUGCAACUGGGGCGAAUACCUGCCAGGAAUCCUCGCCUCAUGGGUGGGGGUGGAAAGCUUCGGCGGGUUUGGGUGGACUCGCGGCCUAUGAGUCUGUUUGUGGGGUAGUGGGUUACCAAGGCUUUGAAGGGCAGCCAGGCUGCGGGGGCGACCGGCCACAAUGGGACUGGGGUACGGGCCAGGAUCCUACGGGGGGCAACAGGGGGGAAUAUUGGAAAAUGGGGGGGAGGCUGAUGCAGCAACGCCGCGGGCGGGGUGACGGCCUUCGGGUUGUAAACCGCUUUCAGCAGGGGAGGAGCCUGUGGUGACGGUACCUGCAGAAGAAGCACCGGCUAACUACGUG
This 465-nucleotide ribosomal RNA is filed under the name uncultured bacterium. RNAcentral describes it as "partial 16S ribosomal RNA". It matches the Rfam family "Bacterial small subunit ribosomal RNA", at positions 28 to 507 of the family's 1533-position model. The record is from RNAcentral.